RNAcentral lists this non-coding RNA (163 nucleotides) under Stephanopyxis turris. The record is from RNAcentral. Lineage: Eukaryota; Bacillariophyta; Melosirophyceae; Stephanopyxales; Stephanopyxidaceae.
AAUCCACAUGUACCGUAUUACAGAAAAGAAAUGAAAAGAAAAAUGAGUAAUGGAAGAUAUAGAUAUAUUGUUCGAUUUCUUGUUGCUGGUGCCACUGCGUUAUCGAUUUCGUCUAUUAUAGUUGGAAUCCAAUACAUUCUUUAUGAUAACGAAGUAAGGUCUC